CGGACUCUUAUCGGCCUGAACUGGUCGCUGGUGAGGACCCCCAGAAGGGCAAAAACAAUCUGCUCGCCCAUCGGUAAUUUUCCAUCAACUUGGUCAAAGGCGUGGCCUACAGAGGGGGCCAAACACCAUUUAAAGUACGGUACUUUUGACCGCACGAAAGUGAAAGUAAACCGUUAGCUUGUUAAUUAAUUAGGAUUAGGAAGUUAUAUGAUAUUCUUUUUAGUUUAAAAUCAGAAUUCUGUGUAUAAAGUUCUGAGAAUGAGAAUGAAGUGAGAGUUCUGAGAAAAAAGUCUGAAUUCUGAGAUUUAAGUCAGAAUUCGGACUUUAAACUCAGAAUGUCACAUCAAAUAUGGCCAUAAUCCUCUCGAACAAGCAACAACUCGCUUACAUCCGAUUUCCUCAGUCAGCUCGUGGUUCCUGUCCUGUAUGUCGCCUGCACUCUAGGAUUGUCAUCUUACUCUGCCAAAAAUAAACAACGGGCCUGUCACCAUCCCCCGUAUCACCUCCCACCGGCUCCAGCCCAUCAGCCCCCCCCCCCCCCCCCCCGACACAGCAGGGGCCUGGACAUCUCACAGCUGCCCACGACAGUGGCCCUGAAUUCCCCUACCACAAUGACGACCCCCAUCAACGUGGAGAGGGACGUUAACAGACUCUUCAAGAGACAGAACCCCCACAGGGCAGCCAGUUCAGACUCGUCUCUCCAACCGCCCGAAGCACUUCGCCCAUCAGCUGUCGCAGACGUCUUCAUCAUCUCACUGGAGACAUGCAAGGAACCAGCAUACUGCAAAAAACACCAUCCCCCAUAAUACCAAGCACCACAGGGUAUAACGUCUACAGGCACGUCUCCCUGACCUGUGGUAAUUAGCCAUAUGAGCACCUUGUGUUGUCCCAAAUCAUAAUCUUCCGGAUGCUCUCCUGGACCCCCUGCAGUUUGGCUACAUAGACAACAUGUAGACCGGCAGUAAGCAUGGCCCUACACUGAAUCCUCCUGCACCUGGUCUCCGCAGGAACCUACACCUGGGGCCUUUUUGUGGAUUCUAGCUCGGCCUUCACCACCAUCAAUCCGGCUCUGCUAUGGGAUAAGCUCUGAGCGUGCCCGACUCCACCUGCAGAUGGACCAUUGACUUCCUGUAUGACCGGAAGCCUCACGUGAAGCUGGGAAACACGUCUCUGACUCCCGGACCAUCAGCGCAGAUUCACCUCAAGGCUUUACUCUUUCCCUUCUGCUCUUCUCACUGUGUACCAACAGCUGCACCUCCAGUCACCAGUCUGUCAACCUCCUGAAGGUCGUGGCAACACCGCCCUCAUUGGCUCGUCUCUGCUGGAGAUGAGUUUGCCUGCAUUGGGAGAUUUACCAUCCGGUUACCUGGUGCGGACUGAACAACCUGGAGCUCAACACCCUGAAGACAGUGUAGAUGGUUGUGGACUUCAGGAAGAAUCCAGCCCCACUCGCCCCAAUCCCCCUUUGUGUCUCCCAAGUCAUCCCCUUCGAGUCCCUCUGUUUCCUCUGUCAGCUGAACCUCAGCUCUCUCACCAAAAAUAAAUAAAAACAGGAUGUACCUCCUAGUGCAUCUGAGGAUGUUCAACCUGCCUUAGACGAUGACGGUACACUUCUGCACCUCCUCCAUCACCAUCUGGUAAGCUGCUGCCACGGCCAAUGACAAGGGGUUAGUGUCAUUCGACCGGCAGAGAAGGUGAUUGGUUGCAAUCUGCCAGCUCUCCAGGACCCUGAGGCGAGCAGGAAAGAAUGUGGCUGAUCCCUCCCACCCCAGACACUAACAGUUUAGAACACUUCCCUCGGGCAGGGGGCUCCAUCUGGACCAAAAUCGAAUGCCACCAGUAACCUUUCUUCCUGUCUACUGUCGGCCUCCUCAUCAAGGCCCGGAACCCCCAUAGACUCCCACCCCAGCUCCAUAGACCCUACACAUUACAUCAACGUAAAGUUUCCACACCUAAGCGUCACAUUAACGCAUAGAUCACUGGACCAUAGUCCUUGGGCAUAACACAUAUUGUGUACUUUAUUCUGUGAACCGCUGCACAUUCCAUGGUCCAUACUUGCACAAACUGCUAAUUGUUAUUAACAUUUAGAUUUAGCAUACGCUUUUAUCAAAAGCGACUAACAAUAAGUAAAUUUUUUCAGAAGUUAGAGAAACAACAAUUUAACGCUGUCGGUACAGUAGGGAAGUUCAUAGAUUAAGUGCCAAGCAUUUACAAUUGCUAGGUUGACCCAUUCCCUUUUUUCCCACAAAGAUGGCUCGGGAAAUAUGCUACUCAAUGCUAAUUUAAAGUAACAGGACAUAAGUUAAGUGACAGGACGUACAAAUGUACAAUAAGUGCGAAAGAGUUAUUUUUUUUAGGAUUAAGGCAGGAGGAAAGGCGGUUGGGGAUGAAGAGGGAGGCUAUGCAGCGUCCAGGUGAACUCUGAACAGGUGAGUUUUAAGUCUCUUGUGAAAGCUGGUGAGCGACUGCACUCCUGACAUCGGCAGGGGGCUCGUUCAACUAUUGCGUUGCCAGAACAGAGAAUAAGUUUGACUUUGUUGUGCAACCUUUGCUUGCUCUUAGCGAUGGCAGUGCAAGACGUCCAGCUGAGGUAAUUGAGCGGAGCGCACAAGUGGUGUGUGGUCUGACUUAGACUUGGAGGUAGGCAGGGGCAUUUCCAGUUCACCCUUGUAUGCCAGCAACAUUGUCAUGAAUCUU
Gadus macrocephalus (Pacific cod) is the source of this 2697-nucleotide long non-coding RNA. RefSeq lists it as uncharacterized. The transcript has 2 exons. Lineage: Eukaryota; Metazoa; Chordata; Actinopteri; Gadiformes; Gadidae. The record is from RefSeq and is a predicted model, not a curated record.